GGGGGCGCACGUGCGCAUGUGUACCAAUGUCAUGUACAUGUAGUCGCUGAUGAGCUCACGGUGGUCGCUUUGAUCCGUUUAUUUUCGCGACUUCGUGUAUCAAGAAAUUAGUCUUUGAGGAAUCGCUGGCACACCUCCGUUAUGACAUUGAUGGAAUACAGCACAAGACCGAUCAGGGAACAAGACCAGCAGCGCUAAACAUCGAGCAAGCUGGCUGCAGAAGAGUAGCGGGACAAAUGCGACUCCAUCUGUGCACAAACUCACUGCUCGCUGCUACACAGGGCCGGACUGGUC
Acanthaster planci (crown-of-thorns starfish) is the source of this 294-nucleotide long non-coding RNA. NCBI's taxonomy places the organism in Eukaryota, Metazoa, Echinodermata, Asteroidea, Valvatida, Acanthasteridae. The record is from RefSeq and is a predicted model, not a curated record.